UCGAUACUACCAAGAAUGUGUAUCCAGCCAAAGCGCCCUGAUGUGUUCGGAGGAAGGGCAGUCUGUAAUUGAUGCCAUAAAACAAUCGGCUACUGAGUAUUACAACGCGUACAACUGGACUUGUGAUGCCACAAAAGAUCUUCCAUCCUGCUCCAAAGAAACGUUUCAAGAAAAGGCGAAGCCAUGCUUCGAGGCAUAUAUCACAAAGGUUGUAAUUCCACACGCUAGAGCGUCGUUAGCCGCAAACUACAGCAGCUUGAAGAUCGCUUGCACAGCCGUGCAUGAGUAUCAAGACUGCGUUUUGAAAAAACUGCUAGGAACUUGCCCGGAGGAAUACAAGAGGAAUGAUAGGCUUCUGGAAACUUUCACUGAUGGCGUCUACGGCAUGUACAACUGGACUUGCGCUUUC
Long non-coding RNA from Rhipicephalus sanguineus (brown dog tick), 409 nucleotides. RefSeq lists it as uncharacterized. The transcript has 3 exons. The record is from RefSeq and is a predicted model, not a curated record. NCBI's taxonomy places the organism in Eukaryota, Metazoa, Arthropoda, Arachnida, Ixodida, Ixodidae.